UGUGUCCACGGUGAUCCCUCAGAUCCUUGGCUUAAAAUUCCUCUUCUCAUUCCAUGCAGAGGCUCACAGAAGGGUUCUGGAGGGACAUGGAACUGGGGCAGGUGCAGGGGGUACAGGAGGUGGUUCUUCUCAGUACUGGGAAGCUUGGGCAAAAUGGUGGGCAGUAGGCCAUGUGUGGUGGCCCACACCUGUAAUCCCAGCACUUUGGGAGGCCGAGGUGGGCGGAUCACGAGGUCAGAAGAUCGAGACCAUCCUGGCUAACACGGUGAAACCCCGUGUCUACUAAAAAUACAAAAAAUUAGCCGGGCGUGGUGGCGGGCGCCUGUAGUCCCAGCUACUCAGGAGGCUGAGGCAGGAGAAUGGCAUGAACUUGGGAGGCGGAGAUCGCGCCACUGCACUCCAGCCUGGGCGACAGAGCAAGACUCCGUCUCAAAAAAAAAAAAAAAAAAAAAAAAAACAUCAAAGCAGAGCUUGGGAAAGGUGAGAGCUACGCAAUGGGGUGGAUGGGCAUCCUGAGGCUUAAAGGAAACUCACAGCCCGGCAAAAGGCUCCUCCCUUUUGCCCAUUCACCCUGGCUGGCCUGCCUUUCUCUUGCCAGAUGAAGUUGGGAAGGGUAACAACCACUGCGUCCCCUGCAAGGCAGGGCACUUCCAGAAUACCUCCUCCCCCAGCGCCCGCUGCCAGCCCCACACCAGGUGUGAGGACCAAGGUCUGGUGGAG
This 720-nucleotide small RNA is filed under the name Pongo abelii (Sumatran orangutan). RNAcentral's name for it is "retained intron". Lineage: Eukaryota; Metazoa; Chordata; Mammalia; Primates; Hominidae. The record is from RNAcentral.